GGUUGUAGCUCAGUGGUAGAGCGCUUGCCUUGCAUGCAUGAGGCACUGGGUUCGAUCCUCGACACAUCA
This 69-nucleotide transfer RNA is filed under the name Marmota monax (woodchuck). RNAcentral's name for it is "tRNA.Ala". The stretch from base 4 to 64 matches the Rfam family "tRNA", at positions 6 to 65 of the family's 71-position model. From Rfam's summary of the family: Transfer RNA (tRNA) molecules are approximately 80 nucleotides in length. Their secondary structure includes four short double-helical elements and three loops (D, anti-codon, and T loops). Further hydrogen bonds mediate the characteristic L-shaped molecular structure. tRNAs have two regions of fundamental functional importance: the anti-codon, which is responsible for specific mRNA codon recognition, and the 3' end, to which the tRNAs corresponding amino acid is attached (by aminoacyl-tRNA synthetases). tRNAs cope with the degeneracy of the genetic code in two manners: having more than one tRNA (with a specific anti-codon) for a particular amino acid; and 'wobble' base-pairing, i.e. permitting non-standard base-pairing at the 3rd anti-codon position. Lineage: Eukaryota; Metazoa; Chordata; Mammalia; Rodentia; Sciuridae. The record is from RNAcentral.